This 279-nucleotide ribosomal RNA is filed under the name uncultured bacterium. RNAcentral's name for it is "partial 16S ribosomal RNA". It matches the Rfam family "Bacterial small subunit ribosomal RNA", at positions 506 to 784 of the family's 1533-position model. The record is from RNAcentral.
UGCCAGCAGCCGCGGUAAUACGGAGGGUCCAAGCGUUAUCCGGAUUCAUUGGGUUUAAAGGGUCCGCAGGCGGGAAAAUAAGUCAGUGGUGAAAGCCUACAGCUUAACUGUAGAACUGCCAUUGAAACUGUUUUUCUUGAGUAUAGAUGAAGUGGGCGGAAUAUAUCAUGUAGCGGUGAAAUGCAUAGAUAUGAUAUAGAACACCGAUUGCGAAGGCAGCUCACUAAACUAUUACUGACGCUCAGGGACGAAAGCGUGGGGAGCGAACAGGAUUAGAUA